RNAcentral lists this ribosomal RNA (441 nucleotides) under uncultured bacterium. RNAcentral's name for it is "partial 16S ribosomal RNA". It matches the Rfam family "Bacterial small subunit ribosomal RNA", at positions 339 to 795 of the family's 1533-position model. The record is from RNAcentral.
CUACGGGAUGCAGCAGUGAGGAAUCUUGGACAAUGGGCGAAAGCCUGAUCCAGCGACGCCGCGUGGGUGAAGAAGGCCUUCGGGUUGUAAAGCCCUGUCAGAGGGGACGAAGUUCUGACGGUACCCUCAGAGGAAGCACUGGCUAACUCCGUGCCAGCAGCCGCGGUAAUACGGAGAGUGCAAGCGUUGCUCGGAAUUACUGGGCGUAAAGGGCACGUAGGCGGCCUUGUGUGUUGGGUGUGAAAUCCCGCGGCUCAACCGCGGAACUGCAUCCAAAACUGCAAGGCUAGAGUACGGAAGAGGAAGGCGGAAUUCCCAGUGUAGGGGUGAAAUCCGUAGAUAUUGGGAAGAACACCAGUGGCGAAGGCGGCCUUCUGGGACGAUACUGACGCUGAUGUGCGAAAGCGUGGGGAGCAAACAGGAUUAGAUACCCCGGUAGUC